GGGUGCGAUCAUACCAGUUUUAAUGCACCGGAUACCAUCGAAACUCCGCAGUUAAGCGGGCUUGGGCUAGAGUAGUACUGGAAUGGGUGACCUCCCAGAAAGUCAUAGUGUUGCACCCU
Picea glauca (white spruce) is the source of this 119-nucleotide non-coding RNA. The record is from Rfam. Lineage: Eukaryota; Viridiplantae; Streptophyta; Pinopsida; Pinales; Pinaceae.